This 450-nucleotide ribosomal RNA is filed under the name uncultured bacterium. RNAcentral's name for it is "partial 16S ribosomal RNA". It matches the Rfam family "Bacterial small subunit ribosomal RNA", at positions 354 to 796 of the family's 1533-position model. The record is from RNAcentral.
GUGGGGAAUAUUGGACAAUGGGCGAAAGCCUGAUCCAGCCAUGCCGCGUGUGUGAAGAAGGUCUUCGGAUUGUAAAGCACUUUAAGUUGGGAGGAAGGGCAGUAAGUUAAUACCUUGCUGUUUUGACGUUACCGACAGAAUAAGCACCGGCUAACUUCGUGCCAGCAGCCGCGGUAAUACGAAGGGUGCAAGCGUUAAUCGGAAUUACUGGGCGUAAAGCGCGCGUAGGUGGUUCAGCAAGUUGGAGGUGAAAUCCCCGGGCUCAACCUGGGAACUGCCUCCAAAACUAGUGGGCUAGAGUACGGUAGAGGGUAGUGGAAUUUCCUGUGUAGCGGUGAAAUGCGUAGAUAUAGGAAGGAACACCAGUGGCGAAGGCGACUACCUGGUCGAGUACUGACACUGAGACACGAAAGCAUGGGGAUCAAACAGGAUUAGAUACCCGGGUAGUCC